Molecule: ribosomal RNA, 698 nt
Filed under: Beutenbergia sp.
Lineage: Bacteria; Bacillati; Actinomycetota; Actinomycetes; Micrococcales; Beutenbergiaceae
Description: bacterial SSU rRNA
Rfam family: Bacterial small subunit ribosomal RNA
Source: RNAcentral
GCUUGCCUGGGGUGGAUGAGUGGCGAACGGGUGAGUAACACGUGAGUAACCUGCCCCAGACUCUGGGAUAACUCCGGGAAACCGGGGCUAAUACUGGAUAUGACAUCCUGCUGCAUGGUGGGGUGUGGAAAGGCUUGUCUGGUUUGGGAUGGGCUCGCGGCCUAUCAGCUUGUUGGUGGGGUGAUGGCCUACCAAGGCGGUGACGGGUAGCCGGCCUGAGAGGGUGACCGGCCACACUGGGACUGAGACACGGCCCAGACUCCUACGGGAGGCAGCAGUGGGGAAUAUUGCACAAUGGGCGCAAGCCUGAUGCAGCGACGCCGCGUGAGGGAUGACGGCCUUCGGGUUGUAAACCUCUUUCAGUAGGGAAGAAGCCUUCGGGUGACGGUACCUGCAGAAGAAGCGCCGGCUAACUACGUGCCAGCAGCCGCGGUAAUACGUAGGGCGCAAGCGUUGUCCGGAAUUAUUGGGCGUAAAGAGCUCGUAGGCGGUUUGUCGCGUCUGCUGUGAAAACGCGAGGCUCAACCUCGCGCCUGCAGUGGGUACGGGCAGACUAGAGUGCGGUAGGGGAGACUGGAAUUCCUGGUGUAGCGGUGGAAUGCGCAGAUAUCAGGAGGAACACCGGUGGCGAAGGCGGGUCUCUGGGCCGUAACUGACGCUGAGGAGCGAAAGCAUGGGGAGCGAACAGGAUUAGAUAC